CUACGGGAGGCACCAGUGGGGAAUUUUGCGCAAUGGGCGAAAGCCUGACGCAGCGACGCCGCGUGGGUGAUGAAGGCCUUCGGGUUGUAAAGCCCUGUGGGGAGGGAAGAAUAAGGUAUGGCUAAUAUCCAUGCCGAUGACGGUACCUCCUUAGCAAGCACCGGCUAACUCUGUGCCAGCAGCCGCGGUAAGACAGAGGGUGCGAACGUUGUUCGGAAUUACUGGGCGUAAAGCGCGUGUAGGCGGCUACGCAUGUCGGGUGUGAAGGCCCUGGGCUUAACCUAGGAAGUGCACUCGAAACUGCGUAGCUCGAGUCCCGGAGAGGAUGGUGGAAUUCGCGGUGUAGAGGUGAAAUUCGUAGAUAUCGAGAGGAACACCGGUGGCGAAGGCGGCCAUCUGGACGGGUACUGACGCUGAGACGCGAAAGCGUGGGUAGCAAACAGGAUUAGAUACCCUAGUAGUC
RNAcentral lists this ribosomal RNA (463 nucleotides) under uncultured bacterium. RNAcentral describes it as "partial 16S ribosomal RNA". It matches the Rfam family "Bacterial small subunit ribosomal RNA", at positions 339 to 795 of the family's 1533-position model. The record is from RNAcentral.